UUACUACUCCUUCCGUCCAAAAAUACUUGUCAUCAAAAUGGAUGAAAAGGGAUUAAUCUAGAACUAAAAUACAUCUAGAUACAUCCCUUUUUAUUCUUUUUGAUGACAAGUAUUUUCGGACGGAGGGAGUACUUU
Non-coding RNA from Triticum aestivum (bread wheat), 135 nucleotides. The record is from Rfam. Lineage: Eukaryota; Viridiplantae; Streptophyta; Magnoliopsida; Poales; Poaceae.